RNAcentral lists this ribosomal RNA (465 nucleotides) under Vreelandella stevensii. Its description in RNAcentral is "partial 16S ribosomal RNA". It matches the Rfam family "Bacterial small subunit ribosomal RNA", at positions 338 to 795 of the family's 1533-position model. The record is from RNAcentral. Lineage: Bacteria; Pseudomonadati; Pseudomonadota; Gammaproteobacteria; Oceanospirillales; Halomonadaceae.
CCUACGGUGUGCUGCAGUGGGGAAUAUUGGACAAUGGGCGAAAGCCUGAUCCAGCCAUGCCGCGUGUGUGAAGAAGGCCUUCGGGUUGUAAAGCACUUUCAGUGGGGAAGAAAGCCUUGGGGCUAAUACCCUCGAGGAAGGACAUCACCCACAGAAGAAGCACCGGCUAACUCCGUGCCAGCAGCCGCGGUAAUACGGAGGGUGCGAGCGUUAAUCGGAAUUACUGGGCGUAAAGCGCGCGUAGGCGGUCUGAUAAGCCGGUUGUGAAAGCCCCGGGCUCAACCUGGGAACGGCAUCCGGAACUGUCAGGCUAGAGUGCAGGAGAGGAAGGUAGAAUUCCCGGUGUAGCGGUGAAAUGCGUAGAGAGCGGGAGGAAUACCAGUGGCGAAGGCGGCCUUCUGGACUGACACUGACGCUGAGGUGCGAAAGCGUGGGUAGCAAACAGGAUUAGAUACCCGAGUAGUC